CUUCACCCCCACCAUAUUCACAUAGGGAAUGAGCCACCAUGUCAAUUUCAAACCUCAGAUGCAAAGCUAAGUAUCUCGCAACUUUUCCUCCACGAUUUCGUUCACCCUUCAUCAUUGACUUUGAAAAGGGGCCCACUAGGUGACGAUCCAAGGGUCUCACCUUUCAUCAUUGACUUUGAAAAGGGGCCCACUAGGUGACGAUCCAAGGGUCCCAAGCGUGUAACAUUCUGACGCAUUCUUCGAAUAAGUAAAGCUCCGGUUUCUUGUAUCUUUGGAACAAAUUUCAGAGCAUGAAAAUUACAUCUGCAUCGAAGUCUCUAGAUGAAGUCCCCAAAUUAGGAACCAAAGUAGAAAUUAUGGAAUCAGACAAGAUAAAAAAAGAUAACAUAAAUAACUAAUAGAUCAACAAGGAACCCUAAUAUCAAGUUUGACAGGUUUACCUGCACUUGAAAGGGUAAC
Molecule: long non-coding RNA, 459 nt
Filed under: Nicotiana benthamiana
Lineage: Eukaryota; Viridiplantae; Streptophyta; Magnoliopsida; Solanales; Solanaceae
Description: long non-coding RNA (NBEN_LNC027231)
Source: RNAcentral